This is a non-coding RNA of Macaca mulatta (Rhesus monkey), 400 nucleotides long. NCBI's taxonomy places the organism in Eukaryota, Metazoa, Chordata, Mammalia, Primates, Cercopithecidae. The record is from RefSeq and is a predicted model, not a curated record.
CCUAAAAGUUGAGGCCAAUAACCACAAAAUGCCUGCAGAGCUGGAGGAGCCAAACUCAAAGUGAAGACCCCUGGGACUGGACACAUGACAAGGGACAGAGUCUACCUGAAGUGGAUUAUUUGGUUGGAAUAUGUAUAUAAUGGCUGAAGCUCCAGAGGCUGUCCUGAGUUGAUGAGAAAGCCUUGGGAAUAGAAGUGUCAUCGCAGAGAACAAGAUAGAACUGACACCGUGGAGUAACAUUCCAGUAACUUACCAUAAAAUUUCUAUCACUGGACUUUGUGGACAUGAAAAAUCUACAUCUGUUCUUGGGGCUUUACUGUUACUUCCAGCUAAAUUUAAUCCUCCUUAAUGCAAAAGAAAUUCAGGAUGGGGAAGUGUUUAUAAAGUCAUGUAUCCAGAA